CGGCGGACGGGUGAGUAACGCGUGGGUAACCUGCCUCAUACAGGGGGAUAACAGUUAGAAAUGGCUGCUAAUACCGCAUAAGACCACAGUACUGCAUGGUACAGUGGUAAAAACUCCGGUGGUAUGAGAUGGACCCGCGUCUGAUUAGGUAGUUGGUGAGGUAACGGCCCACCAAGCCGACGAUCAGUAGCCGACCUGAGAGGGUGACCGGCCACAUUGGGACCGAGACACGGCCCAG
This 238-nucleotide ribosomal RNA is filed under the name uncultured bacterium. RNAcentral's name for it is "partial 16S ribosomal RNA". It matches the Rfam family "Bacterial small subunit ribosomal RNA", at positions 96 to 334 of the family's 1533-position model. The record is from RNAcentral.